This 184-nucleotide RNase P RNA is filed under the name Lactobacillus helveticus. Its description in RNAcentral is "partial RNase P RNA component class B". It matches the Rfam family "Bacterial RNase P class B", at positions 1 to 185 of the family's 365-position model. Rfam says of the family: Ribonuclease P (RNase P) is a ubiquitous endoribonuclease, found in archaea, bacteria and eukarya as well as chloroplasts and mitochondria. Its best characterised activity is the generation of mature 5'-ends of tRNAs by cleaving the 5'-leader elements of precursor-tRNAs. Lineage: Bacteria; Bacillati; Bacillota; Bacilli; Lactobacillales; Lactobacillaceae. The record is from RNAcentral.
AAUCUUGAGUAGUCGCGGUUAGCUAUAUGCUAGCUGAGGAAAGUCCACGCACGCACAAGCUGCGAUGCUUGUAGUGAUCGUAUUCAGCUCAAUAAGCUGGAGAAAAGUUUUGAAACUUUUACGGCGGAAAAAGUGCUAAAUCUUUUGACAUGCAUUACUAUCCUGAAAAGUGCCACAGUGACGC